CGCCCGCCGCCUCGCGCUGCUCGGAGCCCAGCAGCGCCAGCGACACGAGCAGCUUGCUGCGCACCACCUCGUCCGUCAGGACCAGCAUUCCACGAGGACAUCUGUGCAGAACCAUCAGACUAUCCCUGGCUGUAAAAUACAAUAAGGCCAUACUGGCGUGUCCCAGUGGAAGCUCUGCUUCUGAUUCCGGUUGACACUGAAUGCCAGCCGUUUUCCCUAUCCAUGCACUUUUCCCCAUGAUGACACCCAAAAGGCCCUUCUGACAUGAUGACACCCAAAAGAGGCCCUUCUGACAUCUAGGGACAAAAGGAUGAACAGACAUCGAGGGACAAGAGGCUGAACACUGGAAAACCUGAGACUAGAAGACCUGACUGUUGAUCAAUGAUCUUUUAGAGGAAUGAUCUUGAUCAAGAGGGGGCAAUGAUAAAAGUGAACUGGCAUUUUGUGAUGCUUGACUAUAGAGUUGGAAGGACUGUGGGUGCAGCUGGGCCCCUUGUUAACUGUGACCCUGACUCCAUGUUUAACUUUGUGAUAGCUUCAUGGGGAAGGGAUGAUAUAAAUAGAAAGAGUCAUCUUGAAAUAACUCUCCAUUUCUCCACGUGGGCAGCCGGUUGGAGCGCGGUGGUGUCGGAGUUGUGCAUGGGCCUCCGGCAGGAGCCUCCGGUACCAGAGGCCAUGCAGUUUCUUGCAUUGUGGUGGUAGCUUGUUUCUUUUUUCCCCCCAUCCUCCGAAUAAACCCUUUUCUUUUGUGCAUCA
This is a long non-coding RNA of Hipposideros armiger (great roundleaf bat), 756 nucleotides long. RefSeq lists it as uncharacterized. The record is from RefSeq and is a predicted model, not a curated record. NCBI's taxonomy places the organism in Eukaryota, Metazoa, Chordata, Mammalia, Chiroptera, Hipposideridae. The transcript has 3 exons.